AGUGUUGACAGAUAAAGCUCUGUGUUUUAUAUUCCUUGGCUGGAGUUGCUUUAAUGUUUAAAUCGUAUAUGAGGUAGAUUGUGAAGCAAUACGUGGUGCAAUAAGUGUCACUAUCGGUUUCCACUGAAGAUACACUCCUUUCCGAGGAGGAAGUGAUCCUGAUAAAGAACGCGUUUACUUAAUGUUACAGGAUAUCUUUCUACAUUCAAUAUCUAAUUCAUGUAUCUAAAAUGACCGACCCUUCAACGUGGAUAACAUUGACAGAUUUUGUGUGCCCGGUGAAAACGUGUCCUUCAAG
Long non-coding RNA from Dreissena polymorpha, 298 nucleotides. RefSeq lists it as uncharacterized. The record is from RefSeq and is a predicted model, not a curated record. The transcript is spliced from 2 exons. Lineage: Eukaryota; Metazoa; Mollusca; Bivalvia; Myida; Dreissenidae.